CGUCAAAUAUUAUGUGCCUUGGAG
RNAcentral lists this non-coding RNA (24 nucleotides) under Arabidopsis thaliana (thale cress). The record is from RNAcentral. Lineage: Eukaryota; Viridiplantae; Streptophyta; Magnoliopsida; Brassicales; Brassicaceae.